GACGAACGCUGGCGGCGUGCUUAACACAUGCAAGUCGAACGGAAAGGCCCUGCUCUUGUGGGGUGCUCGAGGGGCGAACGGGUGAGUAACACGUGAGUAACCUGCCCUUGACUUUGGGAUAACUUCAGGAAACUGGGGCUAAUACCGGAUAGGAGCUCCUGCUGCAUGGUGGGGGUUGGAAAGUUUCGGCGGUUGGGGAUGGACUCGCGGCUUAUCAGCUUGUUGGUGGGGUAGUGGCUUACCAAGGCUUUGACGGGUAGCCGGCCUGAGAGGGUGACCGGCCACAUUGGGACUGAGAUACGGCCCAGACUCCUACGGGAGGCAGCAGUGGGGAAUAUUGCACAAUGGGCGGAAGCCUGAUGCAGCAACGCCGCGUGCGGGAUGACGGCCUUCGGGUUGUAAACCGCUUUCGCCUGUGACGAAGCGUGAGUGACGGUAAUGGGUAAAGAAGCCCCGGCUAACUACGUG
This 468-nucleotide ribosomal RNA is filed under the name uncultured bacterium. Its description in RNAcentral is "partial 16S ribosomal RNA". It matches the Rfam family "Bacterial small subunit ribosomal RNA", at positions 28 to 507 of the family's 1533-position model. The record is from RNAcentral.